GAGUAUGGAGAGCAGUGAUUCUCGGUGUAGCAGGAAAUGCGGUGAUUUCGAGAGAGACAUGCGAAGGCAGCCUGCUGACAUUUACUGACGCUGAGGUACGAAGGCCAGGGUAGCGAAAGGGAUUAGAUACCCCUGUAGUCCUGGCAGUAAACGGUGCGCGCUUGGUGUAGGAGGACUCGACCCCUUCUGUGCCGGAGUUAACGCGUUAAGCGCGCCGCCUGGGGAGUACGGUCGCAAGACUAAAACUCAAAGAAAUUGACGGGGACCCGCACAAGCGGUGGAGUAUGUGGCUUAAUUCGAUGCAACGCGAAGAACCUUACCCAGACUUGACAUGUAUUGCUAAAGCGGUGAAAGCCGUGGACCCUUCGGGGACCUUACACAGGUGCUGCAUGGCCGUCGUCAGCUCGUGUCGUGAGAUGUUUGGUUAAGUCCAGCAACGAGCGCAACCCCUGUGAAUAGUUGCCAGCACGUAAUGGUGGGGACUCUAUUCAGACCGCCCGGGUCAACCGGGAGGAAGGUGGGGAUGACGUCAGGUCAGUAUGGCCCUUACGUCUGGGGCUGCACACGUACUACAAUGCCCAGUACAAUGAGAACCGAGACCGCGAGGUGGAGGAAAUCUGCAAAACUGGGCCCAGUUCGGAUUGGAGGCUGCAACUCGCCUCCAUGAAGUCGGAAUCGCUAGUAAUGGCACAUCAGCUACGGUGCCGUGAAUACGUUCCCGGGUCUUGUACACACCGCCCGUCACAUCAUGGAAGCCGGUCGCACCCGAAGUGUCUGCGUCAACAAUGGCAUGGGCCCUAAUGGNGAGC
This 809-nucleotide ribosomal RNA is filed under the name uncultured bacterium. Its description in RNAcentral is "bacterial SSU rRNA". It matches the Rfam family "Bacterial small subunit ribosomal RNA", at positions 644 to 1467 of the family's 1533-position model. The record is from RNAcentral.